UUGAACGCUGGCGGCAGGCCUAACACAUGCAAGUCGAGCGGAUGAAGGGAGCUUGCUCCUGGAUUCAGCGGCGGACGGGUGAGUAAUGCCUAGGAAUCUGCCUGGUAGUGGGGGAUAACGUCCGGAAACGGGCGCUAAUACCGCAUACGUCCUGAGGGAGAAAGUGGGGGAUCUUCGGACCUCACGCUAUCAGAUGAGCCUAGGUCGGAUUAGCUAGUUGGUGGGGUAAAGGCCUACCAAGGCGACGAUCCGUAACUGGUCUGAGAGGAUGAUCAGUCACACUGGAGCUGAGACACGGUCCAGACUCCUACGGGAGGCAGCAGUGGGGAAUAUUGGACAAUGGGCGAAAGCCUGAUCCAGCCAUGCCGCGUGUGUGAAGAAGGUCUUCGGAUUGUAAAGCACUUUAAGUUGGGAGGAAGGGCAGUAAGUUAAUACCUUGCUGUUUUGACGUUACCAACAGAAUAAGCACCGGCUAACUUCGUG
Molecule: ribosomal RNA, 483 nt
Filed under: uncultured bacterium
Lineage: Bacteria
Description: partial 16S ribosomal RNA
Rfam family: Bacterial small subunit ribosomal RNA
Source: RNAcentral